UACGGGGGGGGUAAGCGUUGUUCGGAAUUACUGGGCGUAAAGGGCUCGUAGGCGGCCAACUAAGUCAUACGUGAAAUCCCUCGGCUUAACCGAGGAACUGCCUCCCAAACUGCUUGGCUUGAGACCAGGAGAGGUGAGUGGAAUUCCCAGUGUAGCGGUGAAAUGCGCAGAUAUCAGGAGGAACACCGGUGGCGAAGGCGGGUCUCUGGGCCGAUACUGACGCUGAGGAGCGAAAGCGUGGGGAGCGAACAGG
This 253-nucleotide ribosomal RNA is filed under the name uncultured bacterium. RNAcentral describes it as "partial 16S ribosomal RNA". It matches the Rfam family "Bacterial small subunit ribosomal RNA", at positions 524 to 776 of the family's 1533-position model. The record is from RNAcentral.